UCCUACGGGAGGCAGCUGUGGGGAAUAUUGCACAAUGGGCGGAAGCCUGAUGCAGCGACGCCGCGUGAGGGAUGACGGCCUUCGGGUUGUAAACCUCUGUUGCCCCAGACGAAGCGAGAGUGACGGUAUGGGGUGAGGAAGCACCGGCUAACUACGUGCCAGCAGCCGCGGUAAUACGUAGGGUGCGAGCGUUGUCCGGAAUUAUUGGGCGUAAAGAGCUCGUAGGCGGCUCGUCGCGUCGGAUGUGAAAGCCCGGGGCUUAACUCCGGGUCUGCAUUCGAUACGGGCGGGCUUGAGUUCGGUAGGGGAGACUGGAAUUCCUGGUGUAGCGGUGAAAUGCGCAGAUAUCAGGAGGAACACCGGUGGCGAAGGCGGGUCUCUGGGCCGAUACUGACGCUGAGAGCGAAU
This 408-nucleotide ribosomal RNA is filed under the name uncultured bacterium. RNAcentral's name for it is "bacterial SSU rRNA". It matches the Rfam family "Bacterial small subunit ribosomal RNA", at positions 337 to 758 of the family's 1533-position model. The record is from RNAcentral.